Molecule: long non-coding RNA, 795 nt
Filed under: Sitophilus oryzae (rice weevil)
Lineage: Eukaryota; Metazoa; Arthropoda; Insecta; Coleoptera; Curculionidae
Description: uncharacterized LOC115887324
Source: RNAcentral
UGUAAAGUUAUCUUGCAAAAUUAGAACCUGAAAGCCUAGAAAUGCGGAAUCGGUACAAACCAAAAAUUUAACUUGUGAAUAACAUAGAAAAUAGAAGCCCUUAGUUUUGAUAUUUAUUUUAAAUGCUAGCCCAGACUGCCCAGUGGAGUUUUCAAAGAUAUAAGAAACACGGAAAUUAUUAGUAGUGUUCACCAUGAAUUCUUACAAAUUUCCAGAAAUUGAAAGGAAAUAGGAGGCGUGUGUUCAAAUAUUUUAAAGCAAGAUUUUGUUAGUGAUUAUGGAAGCCUAAAGUUGCAGGCCAUAUCCUUAUCAAAGCAAAAAGUCAAAAAUCUACAGCGUAUGAAUAGUAUGUAAACCUGAAGCCUGCAGCUGAGAUUGUGUUAGAAAGGGUUUCAACAUCAAACUAUACUGAACUCUAACCCUGAAAAUGUUAAUACAAAUCCAAAGCAAUUAUCAGCAUGGCAGGAAAAUUAAAAGCAAAAGUUUCAUUGAAAUAAUAUUGUUUAUAAAUCAGGAUCAAAAUUACAUUAUUUCACUUUGAAAAUAGGACCGGGUGAAGAAUAUUCAUAAUGCGGAGCUUAACCAGUUGAUAUAGUUAGUGUAGUUAUUGUGAUAGAGUGAAUGUGUUGAAUUAAAAUACUUAUUUCUGCAGAAAAACGUGAGCCUAGCUUAAAGGAUACUGUAUAAAUUUCUAAUGUUUUUUUUAUAACUGAUGUUUACCUACUUUUUGUGUUACAUCAUGUGGCGUUAAAAUAUUUUUUUUGGAAUACUUAUAUUAAAUUCUUUUAAAAAUCG